RNAcentral lists this ribosomal RNA (301 nucleotides) under uncultured bacterium. RNAcentral's name for it is "partial 16S ribosomal RNA". It matches the Rfam family "Bacterial small subunit ribosomal RNA", at positions 509 to 807 of the family's 1533-position model. The record is from RNAcentral.
CAGCCGCCGCGGUAAUACGAAGGGGGCUAGCGUUGCUCGGAAUCACUGGGCGUAAAGGGUGCGUAGGCGGGUCUUUAAGUCAGGGGUGAAAUCCUGGGGCUCAACUCCAGAACUGCCUUUGAUACUGAAGAUCUUGAGUUCGGGAGGGGUGAGUGGAACUGCGAGUGUAGAGGUGAAAUUCGUAGAUAUUCGCAAGAACACCAGUGGCGAAGGCGGCUCACUGGCCCGAUACUGACGCUGAGGCACGAAAGCGUGGGGAGCAAACAGGAUUAGAUACCCCCGUAGUCCCUGUCUCUUAUAC